CCGUCGCCAAAAAAAUUUCGGUCAGUGUACCAUUUUAGGGGUCAAAAAUUUUUUCCGGACAUACAAAAAUUUUCCGUGAAGCCAAAAAUUUUUCCCGAUAUCUUAAAUUUUCGCCAUUUCUUCAAAAUAUUUUUCUAAAUUCCAAAUUUUUAUAAAUAUAAACUAUAAAUUACCUGAAUCUCGUGAUUUUCCUACAAAAAGCAUCGUUGGAAAUGUGAUUUAUCACGUAUUAUUUUACAACUAAAAGGGCACUUCUGCCCCCCCUAGCAAAAGGCAAGGGGGGCAGCCGCCCCCCCUGCCCCCCCAGUUCCGGCGUCCCUG
RNAcentral lists this long non-coding RNA (321 nucleotides) under Paramuricea clavata. Lineage: Eukaryota; Metazoa; Cnidaria; Anthozoa; Malacalcyonacea; Plexauridae. The record is from RNAcentral.